RNAcentral lists this long non-coding RNA (1559 nucleotides) under Olea europaea subsp. europaea. Lineage: Eukaryota; Viridiplantae; Streptophyta; Magnoliopsida; Lamiales; Oleaceae. The record is from RNAcentral.
CUGGGUUUAGAAUGCAAUUUUACUGAUUGCUUCGUCCUUGUUGAUACAUGAUUGAAACAUCCAUAUUUAUAUGCUAUGUUCCCAUGCUGACUGCUGUAGUCACCAUUUAUUUGAUGGUUUCUGACAAUGAUGGUAAAAUUAAUUUCGGCGAAUUUUGAACUUUGUAAUACCUAAUGAGUGGUCAAAUAAUAAAUGCAGUUUUCGUCUAUUCUUGACAGGAUUGGAAUUUAUCUUCUCUUGACUAUGACCUCUACAGACCUCUACAGUAAUUACAUGUCAUCAUUACUGCAGAGAAUGAAGAUUACCAUGUCCGGGGUCCUCUAAACCAUGCGUGCAUAACUUGUGCUAUCCUUAGUCACUGACACAUUUGAAUUUAGAUGAGCAGCAUGAUGGAGAUAACCACAAUACCGACAAAAUAGCCUCCUAUUCUUAACUUAUGAUGCCAUUAGCAGUCUUUUCUUGAAUCUUCCCAGUAGGCGCAUUUUCUUGUUAGUGCGGCAUUCGUGUCAUUCUAAGAGUUUGAUUCCUUAUGCUUUAUCUAUAUGAGUUCCGUUAUAUUUCAAUAAUCUAUUAUUGAGAUCUAAAGCGAGGAAUUUCCCUGUAGAAUUUGUUCUGCAUAAAUAAGUUUUGUUGUCAGUAUGAUCAGCCCGUGCUGUGCAUUAUUUUGUUAGAAAGAUAUAACCAAAAAUGAAGUAUCUGAGGAUGUAAGGAAAUAGCUUCCUGAAAUUGCAAAAUUGAUCUCUCUGGUAUUUUGAUAAAUAAUUAUCAAGUUUCGUGUAUAAGUUUUAUCCAAUAGUAUGUGCAUUUACGACGUGUCUAAAUUUGCAUCCCCCAAUUCCAGUCGAGUAAUAACAUUUGCUUCAAGUCAUUAGUUGAUCAUUUUUUAUAAUUCACUUACAAACUAUAGAGCUUACCAUUUGAUAAUAUACAGCGAUAACAUCAUUUUAUUGUAUUAGUUUCAUAGAUUUGCUCUAAUGCACAUCAUCUAUCCUUGCAAGUUGGACUUGAUCUUAUUAUUGGGGAUGUGACUCUUCUAAUGAAUUUUGAGACAGUGCCCAGAAUGAACUCUUCUUGAAUCGGGACAGCCACCAAUGUGUCACUCACUGAUUUAUGCGAGUCACCAUGAGGAUUACAAAAAUGACCUGCUAGGAAUCUUCUGUCCCCUUUGGAAGAUCCAUACAGCAUCUUAGGACAAGAAAUAUUUGCACUACCUUCUCAAUAUGAUCAACUUGAGUGGAACUUUAUUUGGUAAUGGUGGCUCUGGGCAACCACUUAUGGGACCCUUCUUUGCUUUUGUUGCAUUCUGAAGGAACUGUUAAUGGAGACCUUGUCACUCGCAAGAACGUGAAUAUCAAAAAUAGGCUACUAAUAACAGAAGAAAGAAAAUUAGUCAAUAUUUUGAUGUAUUAUCAUUUGAGGUGGUCCCAUACAUGAAUGCUUUCUGAAGUAUUCCUAUUUUCAAGCUUUUAGGUUAUAGAUGAUCAUGUUCACAUGGUUAUGUUAGUAUCUUGUUCUCUUUGUUGUUAUCUUACUGGAACACAUAUCAAAUCUAUUCUGAG